Molecule: ribosomal RNA, 341 nt
Filed under: uncultured Gammaproteobacteria bacterium
Lineage: Bacteria; Pseudomonadati; Pseudomonadota; Gammaproteobacteria
Description: bacterial SSU rRNA
Rfam family: Bacterial small subunit ribosomal RNA
Source: RNAcentral
CGUAAUACGGAGGGUGCAAGCGUUAAUCGGAAUUACUGGGCGUAAAGCGUACGUAGGUGGUUUGUUAAGUUGGAUGUGAAAGCCCAGGGCUCAACCUUGGAACUGCAUUCAAAACUGGCGAACUAGAGUAUGGUAGAGGUGAGUGGAAUUUCCUGUGUAGCGGUGAAAUGCGUAGAGAUGGGAAGGAACAUCAGUGGCGAAGGCGACUCCCUGGACCAAUACUGACACUGAGGUACGAAAGCGUGGGUAGCAAACAGGAUUAGAUACCCUGGUAGUCCACGCCGUAAACGAUGUCUACUAGCCGUUGGGGUCCUUGAGACUUUAGUGGCGCAGCUAACGCA